AUUGAACGCUGGCGGCAGGCCUAACACAUGCAAGUCGAGCGAGCGGCGGACGGGUGUGUAAUGUAUGGUGACUGCCCGAUAGUGUGGGAUAACUACUGGAAACUGUAGCUAAUACCGCAUACUAUCUGCUACCCCAUAUGGGAUUAGCUAGUAGGUGAGGUAAUGGCUCACCUAGGCGACGAUCCCUAGCUGGUCUGAGAGGAUGAUCAGCGAAGCGGGGAAUGAGGAAAGGCCCAAGAUCUUGCGGAGGCAGCAGUGGAGAAGAUUGAGGAAUGGGCGAUAGCCAGAUGCAGGCAUGGCGGGUGUAUGAGGAGGGCAAUAGGGUUGUAAAGUACUUUCGAUCGGGAGAGGUUACCGACAGAAGAAGAACCGGCUAACUCCGUGCCAGCAGCCGCGGUAAUAC
This 403-nucleotide ribosomal RNA is filed under the name uncultured bacterium. RNAcentral's name for it is "partial 16S ribosomal RNA". It matches the Rfam family "Bacterial small subunit ribosomal RNA", at positions 30 to 526 of the family's 1533-position model. The record is from RNAcentral.